RNAcentral lists this ribosomal RNA (253 nucleotides) under uncultured Novosphingobium sp. RNAcentral describes it as "partial 16S ribosomal RNA". It matches the Rfam family "Bacterial small subunit ribosomal RNA", at positions 524 to 776 of the family's 1533-position model. Lineage: Bacteria; Pseudomonadati; Pseudomonadota; Alphaproteobacteria; Sphingomonadales; Sphingomonadaceae. The record is from RNAcentral.
UACGGAGGGAGCUAGCGUUGUUCGGAAUUACUGGGCGUAAAGCGUGCGUAGGCGGUUACUCAAGUCAGAGGUGAAAGCCCGGGGCUCAACCCCGGAACUGCCUUUGAAACUAGGUAACUAGAAUCUUGGAGAGGUCAGUGGAAUUCCGAGUGUAGAGGUGAAAUUCGUAGAUAUUCGGAAGAACACCAGUGGCGAAGGCGACUGACUGGACAAGCAUUGACGCUGAGGCACGAAAGCGUGGGGAGCAAACAGG